UGACCGUGCUAAGGUAGCAUAAUCAUUUGCCUUUUGAUUGAAGGCUGGCAUGAACGAGAAGACGACAAUUAAGCUUUUUAAGAGUUUACUGUAAAUUGAUAUUUGCGUCAAAAAGCGCAACUUUCUGGGGGGACGAUAAGACCCUGAAAACUUAAAAUCUAGCGAUUGGGCUAAUAUUUAGAGCACCUUGUCAAAUCGCGGGAUUAGGCUGGGGCGGCAGUUAAUCGGCUUUAACAAAGUUAACACCAACCGGUGAUUUUGUAGAACUUAAGUAGUAUUUGGAGCAAGUUACUUCAGGGAUAACAGCACGAUUUUUUCUUACAGACCACAUGGACGGAGAAGACUUGUGACCUCGAUGUUGAAUUUGGAGGGCCUCGGUUAAGCAAAAAUAACCAGAGGGGGUCUGUUCGACCCGGAAUUCUUCA
Molecule: ribosomal RNA, 425 nt
Filed under: Desmosoma sp.
Lineage: Eukaryota; Metazoa; Arthropoda; Malacostraca; Isopoda; Desmosomatidae
Description: partial 16S ribosomal RNA
Rfam family: Bacterial large subunit ribosomal RNA
Source: RNAcentral